Long non-coding RNA from Schistocerca cancellata (South American locust), 326 nucleotides. RefSeq lists it as uncharacterized. The transcript has 3 exons. The record is from RefSeq and is a predicted model, not a curated record. NCBI's taxonomy places the organism in Eukaryota, Metazoa, Arthropoda, Insecta, Orthoptera, Acrididae.
GCGGCUCCCAGACAGCUCGCGCGCCACCGCAAGCCAGGCCCUGGCCACGGCCCUCCAGCAGCCGACGGCGGCGCGUCACUCCCGCGUACUGAAAAAGCAACUGAUCGACGGCAGUUUCAUCCCGAGGCCCAGUAGGCGGAGUAUUCAGUGUCAGCGGGCAGAGAUUGGAGAGACGGGCCGCAGCCGCGCAUAACUGGCGCUGUUUCAUCGACGGCUGGAAGGUAUCGACAGGCGCCACUCGAGGCCGACAGCUGGAAGCGAGUGUCCAGAGAGAGGGAGACGGGUAUUGGAGAUAAGGGCGGCCCGGAAAGAAUAGCGAGGGCAUC